This 6434-nucleotide long non-coding RNA is filed under the name Capsicum annuum. RNAcentral's name for it is "long non-coding RNA (CANN_LNC005950)". Lineage: Eukaryota; Viridiplantae; Streptophyta; Magnoliopsida; Solanales; Solanaceae. The record is from RNAcentral.
UUCUUUAGUUGGUUGUGGUGUGUAUGCUUUGAGCACAUUCAAUUCCCUUUUUCUUUUGUAAUACGCAUUUUGUCGAACACCUUAUCUCCUAAUCUCAAAAAUUGGCUUCGAUGGCCACGACAAGUAGCGAACCAUCAAAUACUGGUGCUACAGGUGCGAUAGGUGUUAGCAAUGGAGUUUUUGUUGAAGGCGAUAUCAGUUCUCUCUUUUAUAUGCAUCCUUCUGAUAAUCCGGGUGCUGUGUUGGUAACUACACCCUUUGAUGGAGUAGGAUAUGGAUCGUUGAAGAGAGGUGUGCUGACAGCUCUUUCAGCUAAGAACAAAAUAGGCUUUGUCAAUGGUGAGUGCAGGAAUCCAGAUCCAGGGACAUCGCGAUAUCGUCAAUGGGAAAGGUGUGACAAUAUGGUCACAACAUGGAUUUUGGAUUCCUUGGUCAAGGAAAUCACGGAUAGCGUGGAGUAUGUAAGCAGUUCCUUUGAAUUGUGGAAGGAAUUGGAUAAUCGAUACGAUCAGACCAAUGGGGCAAAACUUUACCAAGUUCAGAGGGAGUUAAGUGAGUUAUCACAAGGUACAUUGGAUAUCACUGCCUACUACACAAAGAUGAAAAAGUUAUGGGAAGAGCUAAACUCUUUACAGACGAAUACUAAGUGUAGCUGUGAUUGCACUUGUGGUGCUAAGGAGCACCUUUAUAAAGCAGAACAAGACAGAAAAUUGGUUCAGUUUCUCAUGGGAUUAAACGAAGCCUAUACUGCAGUUAGGGGGAACAUCCUCAUGAUGAACCCACUGCCAACAUUGGCACAAACUUUUUCGCUGUUAGUGCGAGAGGAGAGACAAAGAGAGAUUAAGCCAAGUAAUCAGUCUUUUAUGGACUCCACCUCCCUUAGCGCAAGCAGUUCAACUAGAGUAAAAUUUGAAUCUGCCGAAUUCAGUGCAAGUGAAAGUGGUUAAAAGGGAGGAAACAACUCAAAAACUCCCAAAGCUGGGUACUCCUCAGGAAACACUGGUUACUCAUCUGGAGGUGGUAAUUUUAGAACAAAUUAUAGUCAACAUAUUGGUUACAGUGGAAAUAGGUCACAUACCAUAUGUGAUUAUUAUAAGAGGCCCGGUCAUACUAAAGAUAAAUGUUAUAAGUUGCAUGGGUAUCCACAGGGAAGUCAACAAGACACAUGUAAUAGUUUUCAUACUUUUCAAGGUAGCUAUCAGAACAACAAUCAGAACUAUAAGAACAACAAAGGAAAAGGUCUCAUGGUUGAUAUGCAUGGCCCCAUUUCUAACAUGGGAUCUGCAAGCAGGGUAGAACAUGGAAAUGAAGACAAUAUGAGCUUGACAAAAGAACAAUAUGGACAUAUUUUGAAUCUUCUGCAAUAAUUCCAGUCUGGAUCCCAUGUAGAAGGUGUUAACGGCAACAAUGUUGAUCAUGUGAAUGGCAAAGCUAGCCUUGCAGGUAUAAUAGUUUGCACCUCUUCUAUUGAUUUUGGUAAACUGAAUUGCAAGUGUUUCAAAAACAAGUGUGACUCUUGGAUUUUAGACUCGGGAGCCUCCAAUCACAUGACCUUUAAUAAAAACUCCAUGACCAAUAUCACCUCCCUUCCUUAUCCCCUACUAAUAGUCUUACCAAAUGGCUAUAAGGUAAAAGUAAGUCAAAUAGGUAGUGUGAUUCUUGCAUCAAACAUUGUUUUGCAUAAUGUACUAUUAGUGCCCUCAUUUAAGUAUAAUCUUGUGUCUGUCAAUUCCCUCAUUGCAUCUAUGCCCAAGAGUAUGGUUUCUUUCACUGAAACAUCAUGUGUUCUGUAGGCCCCUUCAAUGAAGAGGACUCUGGAGAUUGGUGAGGCCAAGGAUAGACUCUAAUUACUUUGUCCCAAAUAUUUGAAGAAGAACAACAACAAUUCAACUUCAAACUGUACAAUUCAAGAUGCUUUCCCAAACUCUAGAUUUCAAAAGUCUUUGGAUAAGUCUAGUUUUUCUAACACAUACAGUCAUAGAGCAUAUUGUCACGUCCAUUCUACUGUAAAUAGCAAUAUAGACACAAAUAAGUGUUCUUAUCAACCUAUUGUAAAAAAUCCUAGUUUAGUGAAUAAAAGUCAGUUGUCUUUUUCUGCUCCUCUUUGUCUCAUGUAUGUGAUGUGAAUUUGUUGUGGCAUAAUAGACUUGGGCAUAUUCCUUUUGUGAAAAUGAGAGGCAUCCAAUCAAUACCUGAAACUUUUUCCAGUAAACAACCCUUUAUUUGUAACAUUUGCCCUAUAGAAAGACAGGAAAGACUACCAUUUUCUCACAAAACCAAUACCACAAUCAAAAGGUUCCAACUACUUCACAUUGACCUGUGGGGACCUUACCAUGUAGCCACACAUGACAAUUAUAAGUAUUUUAGCACUCUUGUUGAUGAUUACAGUAGGUGUACGUGGACUCAGUUGUUAACUUGCAAAAACAAUGCCUUAGUAGCCAUUAAAGCUUUUAUCUCCAUGAUUGAGAACCAAUUCAACACCACUGUUAAGUUUAUAAGAACAGAUAAUGGAUUGGAGUUCAUUAAUACAGAAACAUCAUCUUAUUUAAAACACAAAGGAAUAGUUCAUGAGAAGACUUGUCCCUACACACCAGAACAAAAUGGUGUGGUAGAAAGAAAACACAAAUACCUAUUGGAAACUGCCAGGGUACUUCUUUUUCAGUCUAAAAUGCCACCAAAAUACUGGGGAGAAUUUGUAUUAUGUGCCACAUACAUCAUUAACAGACUUUCCACCUCUCAUGUUAGAACAAAAAGCCCAUAUGAAUUGUUGUACAAAACCAAACCAUCCUGCUCUCAUGUGAGAACCUUUGGAUGUCUUUGUUACCCUACUAUCCCUAAAUGCCAUAGAGACAAGUUUCAGGCCAUAACAACUCCCCAUGUUUUCUUAGGGUAUCCUUUUAGUUCCAAAGGGUACAAAGUACUGAGUCUGACUACAAGAAGGAUUCAUGUUUCUAGGGAUGUCGUUUUCAAAGAAAAUAUUUUUCCUUUCACUCUCUCUUCUGAUAUGUCUUCUUUCCCUUCUACAUUUCAUCCUGCACCUUUCAUGCAUUUUGAUGACACUACAAUUGGACAUCAAACAUUAGUGAAUGCUAACAACAAUGUAGAUGAUGCAAGUGAUACACCAGCUGAUAUCCUGACUGCCCAACCACCUAAUUUACAUACCUUAACUUUUAUUCUUGUAGACCAUUAUAAACCAGUUGUACCACCUAGUACUGCACCUCCUAUUAAACCAACUAGAACUCAUAAACUCCCUGUAUACCUUUAUGAUUAUAUUCUACUUAAUACCAUCAGAAAAGCACCACCAAGUGACACAACUACUAGCCUCAAUGCCCUGUUUUCAAACCACCAACAUGUCUUAACUGAUGUUUUGAAUCAUGAGAGUCAGGAACUUGUGAGAAACAUUAGUAAUGACAGUGAGCCUUUAUUUUUUGAGGAGGCUAUUGUGAACCCUGAUUGGCAAUUGGCCAUGAAUCAAGAAUUUGAGGCACUUCAUGCAAAUCACACUUGGGAUUUAGUUACCCUGCCUCAUGGUAAGAGGGAAAUAGGGUGUAGAUGGGUGUACAAAGUAAAACAUAAGGCUGAUGGAACUAUUGAGAGAUUCAAAUAAAGGUUGGUUGUUAAGGGAUACACUCAAAAAUCUGGGAUUGAUUACACUGAAACCUUUUCCCCUGUUGUUAAGAUGACAACUGUAAGGGCAUUACUAUCCAGCUCAGUUAAUAAAGGAUGGGAUAUAUUCCAACUUGAUGUCAACAAUGGAUUUCUUCAUGGUGACUUACAUAAAGAAGUGUACAUGGAGAUACCUCCAGGCCUUAUGGUGGACAGCCCAGGGUUAGCAUGCAAACUAAACAAGUCACUCUAUGGCCUAAAGCAGGCUAGUCGACAAUGGUAUGUCAAGCUGACUGAAGCACUUUAUUCCAUAGGAUACACUCACUCAAUGAAUGAUUACUCUCUUUUUCACAAGAAGACUGCAAGAUCAGCUAUUUUUGUAGCAGUUUAUGUAGAUGAUAUAACUGUGACUGGGACUCAUAAUUCUGAGAUUGAAGAACUCAAACAAUUUCUUCAUGAGAAGUUCAGGAUUAAAGAUUUGGGCAAACUCCACUACUUCCUUGGAAUGGAGGUUCUAUAUAAGCAGGAUGGUCUGAUUAUUUCCCAAAGGAAGUUCUUGUUAGAUUUACUGAAGAGUUAUCAUGUCUCAAGUAUGCCAGUUGUUCUUCUCCACUUGAUCCUACACAAAAAUUACUUGCCAAGGAAGGAACACCUUUGUCAGAUCCUACUUAUUACAGAAAGCUCAUAGGAAAGCUCAAUUUUCUUACUAACACUAGGAUGGACAUAGCCUAUGGUGUACAACAUUUGAGUCAGUUUAUGAAAGACCCUAGGAAACCUCAUUCGAAAGAUGCAUUUCAUUUACUAAGGUAUCUCAAGUCUGAUCCAACACUAGGGAUCUUUAUGUCACAUGAUCCAAAUUAUACUGUCAAAGCAUAUUGCGAUUCUGACUGGGCUGCAUGCCCAGUUUCCCGAAGAUCAGUUAAUGAUUACAUUGUUUUGCUGGGUAAUAGUCCAGUGAGUUGGAAAUCUACGAAGCAAGAAACUGUAUCCCUAUCCUCAGCAGAAGCAGAGUAAAAAACCUUGAGGAAAGUCGCAGGAGAACUGGUUUGGCUAAGUCGACUACUUGAGGAACUUUCAGUACCAUUACCAUCUCCUAUUGAGGUGUAUUGUGAUAGCCAAUCAGCUCUUCAUAUUGCAAAGAACCCUGUGUUCCAUGAGAGGACUGAAUAUAUUGAAGUGGACUGCUAUUUUGUAAGAAAUCUCCUACAAGCUGGAUUAAUUUCACUCCACCACAUCUCCUCAGAUUUUUAACUAGCAGAUGUACUUACCAAAGCACUCACAGGAAUCAAACACUUUGCUGCGUUACACAAGUUUUUCUGUGUUUUCUACUCCUCCAUCUUAAGGGGGGGGGGGGGGGGGGUAGAAGUUUAUUAAGAUUAACUACUAGAUUAGAUAAUUAAUUACACUGCUGCUGUAUGUAAUUAGUUAGUUAGUAUUAGUUAGUUAUUAGCUUAGUGUGACAGCUCACUGCCAUCUGUAAAGUUGGUUACUAAAUACUUUGUAAUCUUUCUCUAUAAGUACUCAUAUGCUCACAAUGGAAGUGAGUUGAGCAAUUUUCCAGAAACUGAUUUCUUCCUCCUUUCUUUCUUCUCUCCUUCUUUGCUCAUAUGAGUUAAGCUUUAAGGUUCAACCUCCAGUAUAUGGAAUGAAGGAUUCUCUCACUAUUAUUAACACCUAGAAAUCUGGUUGAGCCAUCCUUUGGAUUGUAUUUUGUGAAGCGUGUUAGAAACCAAAGAAAAAUUUCACCUUCGUUUGACUGUAAAAUGGAUGGAUGAUAUUUGUAUUUUAAAGAAUCAUCAGGAGACUUGAUGGUAAACGUCUUUGUCCAAGAUUCUCUUAUCCCAUACUCCUUCAUAACCCAGAUAUCAACAUGAGUCCAUGUGUUAUAACAAAAAACACUAAGAUCACCCUCAAACACUCCUAGUUUCAUAAAUAUACAUCCUUUUAAAUAGCAAAACUGCUAUACUUCUAUCCAUUUCUCAUUAGUCAAAUCAAUAGAAAUAAUGUUCCAUUGCUUGUCAAGCCAAUGAAGUUUCCCCUUGACAAACUUAGCAGAAUAACUGAAUAGCUCUCUAUAUUGAAGGUCACCAAUACGACUCCAAGAAUCACUCUUUAGACUAUACAUCUUGACCUCAACGUCACUCAGGUGUCCCUGUCCCACGACGUAAAUAGAGAUAAUAAUUAGUACCUUGUAAUCAUCUUGGAACUAAUCAUAUGCAAAACAAAAAUUGGAAUGAGCAAAACCAACCUCAUGGUUACGCCUAGACCUAUAACUAGGGAGUUUCUUAUACUUUCUAAUUGAAGGAUUCCAUAUAAACAAGUCAUAUAAUCCGUGAAAUACUACAACGGAAAGUCAAAUCAAUCCAUUGAUAUAACCCACAAGCCGAGGAUGAGCACCGAAAAUUUUACGAUGAUAAUCCAAGUCAAGUGCCUCAGUUACAGAAUCGCAAAGUAAAGAGCUAACAGAACAUCCCCUGACAUCAGGGUUAGAAUAAUAAGCCUCACACAGAACUCUGUGGUGAGUGUAGUCCUUAUUAGUAGAAGAUAAUAAGAGAUGAGCCUUCACAAAUUGAGGGCUAGAGAUUAACGAAAGCCAAGAUUUGCAAACAAACCUGAAUUGCAAGAGGGAUUUCACAGGAAGCUUUAGAAGGUUUCAGUGAUGAGUUCUUCGGGAAGGAUAGGCAUAACGAAGACUGAAUCAUUAACAAGAUUUAUGGGUUUGUUCCAUUUUUGGUGUUGAAAAUGGGCUUGUCUCUUUCCAGGACAACUGGUUCGUAAUUGAAGCUCAGAGUUUGGGGGAAAUAGGGAUUUUAGUAUUUAUAGUCCCU